This is an RNA transcript of Populus trichocarpa (black cottonwood), 1988 nucleotides long. It is a transcript of the gene named methylmalonate-semialdehyde dehydrogenase [acylating], mitochondrial, with no coding region annotated. The record is from RefSeq and is a predicted model, not a curated record. NCBI's taxonomy places the organism in Eukaryota, Viridiplantae, Streptophyta, Magnoliopsida, Malpighiales, Salicaceae. The transcript is spliced from 10 exons.
CCCCCCCCCCCUCAUUUCUUUGCAGGUAUGCCUAUGUAACAUCCUCUUGAAGAAACAAACAUUUCGCCUAAACUAAAAACAGUGUCGUCAAAGAGUCACUGAAUCAAAGCAAGUAGAAACAAAAAGAAAAACGAUGUUGCUUCUUCGAUCCUCGAUUCGACGAGCGAGAAAUCUAAAGGCCUUGAAGCCUUCGAUCUUUGCUUUAAGAAGCUCUUAUUGUUUCUCUACUGGUGCAGCUGAGCCUUCUUCAAGCCUACCUAGCCCUCCGAGAGUCCCCAAUCUUAUUGGAGGAAAAUUCGUUGAUUCGCAAUCAUCUUCAACCAUUGAUGUGAUAAAUCCUGCAACACAAGAAGCCGUGUCACCGGUUCCUUUGACUACGAACGAAGAGUUCAGAGCUGCAGUCUCUGCAGCAAAGCAGGCUUUUCCGGCGUGGCGUAACACGCCAAUUACGACUCGUCAGCGUGUCAUGCUCAAGCUCCAAGAGCUUAUUCGUAGAGACAUUGAUAAGCUUGCGAUGAAUAUAACUACUGAACAGGGGAAGACCUUGAAGGAUGCUCAUGGAGAUGUGUUCCGUGGGCUAGAGGUGGUGGAACAUGCUUGUGGAAUGGCGACUUUGCAGAUGGGUGAGUAUGUCCCUAAUGUGUCAAAUGGAAUUGAUACCUUUAGCAUCAGAGAGCCACUUGGUGUAUGUGCUGGGAUUUGCCCUUUCAACUUUCCAGCAAUGAUUCCCUUAUGGAUGUUCCCUGUUGCCGUAACAUGCGGUAACACCUUUAUAUUGAAGCCAUCGGAGAAAGAUCCUGGUGCUUCUAUAAUACUUGCUGAGUUAGCGAGAAGGAGAGAUAGAGGGGAGAUUGAAAGGUUAUCUCGGUGAUAAUGCCGUGGAUGAUGAACUUUAGAUACUGUUGAAUUCUACCAUCAGUUCGAAACAAAAAUCUCAACAUUCGUAAUAGGCUGCUUUGCAGGUGCUGCUCUACUUCUGCCGUGGGUCUCCUUUCUUUCUAAGGCGGCAGAGACAAGUGAAUUGCCAAGAAGGUUUCAAGUAAUUCAAACGGCAGCCUAUCUUGAAAGUCCUACAACUCUUAAACUAAUGCUAAUGAACACAGGCUCCCACUUCAGCCCACAGCAAGAACAAGUCUUUUAGGUCCAUGCAGUGGUUGGAAAUAAACAUUUCAUUACCGUGCAAAGUAACGCCACAGACACACUUAUACCCGCCCUUAUUAACCAAAGAAAUUGUGCAAUUUUCCUAACCCCCAAGCAUUGCAGCACUACAAUUUCAACUUCCUUCAUGGGAAAGCUUCCUGUUCCAUUUCUUCCUUUUGUUUUCUCAACUUUCUUCACACUAAUAAUCCCUUCUGCGAGUGGAUUAUCUUUCAACUUCACCAGCUUCAUUGUUGGCGACCGAAACAUUUCAUACGAGCAGGACGCAUAUCCCGCAGAAGGAGCUGUUCAGCUCACCAAAAAUCUAAGAAAUGCUAAUAUGAGUUUAAUUUUCGGUCGAGCCACGUAUUACAAACCGAUGCAGCUUUGGGACAAGGCCUCAGGGAAUCUUACAGACUUCACCACCCAUUUCUCUUUUUCCAUCGAUUCGCAAGGUCGACGUGCAUACGGAGAUGGAUUGGCUUUCUUUCUUGCGCCAGAAGGAUCAAAGCUUCCGCCUAAUCUCUCUCAAGGUCGAAGUCUAGGUCUUACAAGGAAUGAUCAGCAACUAAACACAACGGAUAAUCAUUUUGUUGCUGUGGAGUUCGAUAUCUAUAAAAAUUAUUUUGAUCCACCAGGCGAGCAUGUAGGUAUUGACAUCAACUCUAUGCAAUCUGUAAAUAAUAUUACUUGGCUGUGUAAUAUUAGUGGAGGGAUAAAAACUGACGCUUGGAUUAGUUAUAAUUCAAGUACACAUAAUCUGAGUGUCGCCUUCACCGGUUAUAGAAAUAACACUGUAGAAAUGCAAUUCCUUAGUCAAAUAGUUAGCUUGAGGGAUUACCUACCAGAAA